Molecule: non-coding RNA, 334 nt
Organism: Pelobates cultripes (western spadefoot toad)
Lineage: Eukaryota; Metazoa; Chordata; Amphibia; Anura; Pelobatidae
Source: the annotation of a GenBank genome assembly
CACCGUCCUGUGGGGCCGGUGCCUGCUGACGCCCAGUCCGGGGAAGCCCGCUGUCAGCCCCCUGCCACUCCUAGAGAGCAGCAGCAGCGGAGAUCUACCUGCAGUGGCCGCCAUCUCUCAACUGGAAGCGCUCCGGAGCCGGGCGCGCAGCGGCGCUCGCUGGGCGGGACUAAAACACGCCGCUCAAAACUCUCCAGACCAAUGGUGAGGGCGCAGGAAUAGAAAGUGGGCGUGGCGAUAUGCGACCGGCCCCGCCUUCCUGUGCUAUGUUUCCGGGACUGUAGUGAAAUGGGCGGAGAGUGACAGCUGUCAGUCAUCCCUGGGUCCCGCCCAC